GCACAAGCAGUGGAGUAUGUGGUUUAAUUCGAAGCAACGCGAAGAACCUUACCAGGUCUUGACAUCCAACUAACGAGAUAGAGAUAUGUCAGGUGCCCUUCGGGGAAAGUUGAGACAGGUGGUGCAUGGUUGUCGUCAGCUCGUGUCGUGAGAUGUUGGGUUAAGUCCCGCAACGAGCGCCAACCCUUGCUAUUAGUUGCUACGCAAGAGCACUCUAAUAGGACUGCCGUUGACAAAACGGAGGAAG
RNAcentral lists this ribosomal RNA (247 nucleotides) under uncultured bacterium. RNAcentral's name for it is "partial 16S ribosomal RNA". It matches the Rfam family "Bacterial small subunit ribosomal RNA", at positions 923 to 1172 of the family's 1533-position model. The record is from RNAcentral.